UACAGAGGGGGUAAGCGUUGUCCGGAUUUACUGGGCGUACAGCGCGCGCAGGCGGAACUGGACGUGCCGUGUGACAAACCACCGCUCACCGGUGGAGGGCCACGGUACACGACAGUUCUGGAGGCAGGGAGAGGGAUGUGGAAUGCCCGGUGGAGCGGUGAAAUGCGUAGAGAUCGGGCGGAACACCAGCGGCGAAGGCGGCAUCCUGGCCCUGACCUGACGCUGAGGCGCGAGAGCGUGGGGAGCAAACUGG
This 253-nucleotide ribosomal RNA is filed under the name uncultured bacterium. RNAcentral describes it as "partial 16S ribosomal RNA". It matches the Rfam family "Bacterial small subunit ribosomal RNA", at positions 524 to 776 of the family's 1533-position model. The record is from RNAcentral.